AGUUCUGAAGAUCUCAUCUUCUCCCUUCCGUCUCAACACUAACGGCGCCGGAGAAGUCGUCUUCUUCGAGCGGCCGCAUCCAUACGUCACCGCCGCCACAAUUCACAUAACCGACCACCUUCAUCUCUUCCUUCGAUCUCUCAAUUUCGUUUCCUCUCCGACGUCUCUCACUCUCAGGCUUUCUUCAUCUCUCGAUCAAGCUCUCCGCUUCCAUCUCUCUCAGAAGACCGACGCAGAUGAAGAACUCUUUUCUUCAAUUGAACCUUAUGUAUGCGUUAAAUCGCCGCUGAUGCCGAGGUGAUGAAGCAACGGCAGAUUGAUGGCUGGAGAUUGAAGGUUUCUUGAAGAUUGAAUCGCGAAGAGUGAUACGGAGACGAUGCCGCUCCUCUUGAUUCUUCACGUGGAUGAAGAUUGUUGAUGACUAUUACGUGAAGGUUCAGAGAGAUUCCUCGAUCGAGAGCAACUCGUUAUGAUUAUGAAGGAAGAGAGAAGAUGAAGAUGGUGAAUGGAAGGUGAUGAAGAUUGAAGCUGUGAUGAAGACGAUGAAGGAUCAAGAAUGGAGUGUGAUUGAGGAUUCCGAAUUGGUGAUUGAAGAAGAGAGAUUUUUUUCAGAGUUUGUUACAGGUGAUGGCUGAAGGGUGAAGAAGAAGGGUGAAAGAAGAUGUGUGAAGGUUUUCUUUGAAGAUGAUGAAGAGAUAAGAAGAGUUUAUGGUGAUUGAAUGAACAAAUGGUGGAGAAGGAUGAAGAUGGUGAGAAAAAUAAAGAGAGAAUCGAGAGAGAGCUCAGAGAUGAAGAAUGAACUGUUAUAUAGAAUUUUCGGUAUCUAUGGAGUUGAUGUGGGACUGGUGUGGUUCUGGAAGUGAAGAAGAAUUGGUGACUUAGAGCUUUGAUCAUGGAGAAAGAAAGUGAUAAAGAUUUUGAAAAGUGAUAGGUUUAGGAGAGUCAACUUGUAAAAGAAAGUCAAAGGGUCAAUUGUAUUCUUAUUGUAACUUUCUAUGUAAUUCUAUUUGGAUUUUUGUAAUGGAUUUUGAAUGGAACUUGAAUGGAUAAUUGUAA
This is a long non-coding RNA of Vicia villosa (hairy vetch), 1056 nucleotides long. RefSeq lists it as uncharacterized. The transcript is spliced from 4 exons. Lineage: Eukaryota; Viridiplantae; Streptophyta; Magnoliopsida; Fabales; Fabaceae. The record is from RefSeq and is a predicted model, not a curated record.